Molecule: ribosomal RNA, 407 nt
Filed under: uncultured bacterium
Lineage: Bacteria
Description: partial 16S ribosomal RNA
Rfam family: Bacterial small subunit ribosomal RNA
Source: RNAcentral
GACGAACGCUGGCGGCGUGCCUAACACAUGCAAGUAGAACGCCGUUGCGAACGGGUGAGUAACGCGUAGGUAACUGCCUCAUAUCGGGGGAUAACUAGUGGAAACGACAGCUAAUACCGCAUACGGUGAGAUGGACCUGCGUUGUCUUAGCUAGUUGGUGAGGUAAAGGCUCACCAAGGAGACGAUACAUAGCCGACCUGGGAGGGUGAUCGGCCAAACGGGGACUGAGACCAGGGCGAGACUCCGACGGGGGGCAGCAGUAGAGACGCUUGGGCAAUGGACGGAAUGCUCGCCGAGCAAAGCCGCGGGGGUGGAGAAGGGUGUCGAGUCGGAAGGCUCUUUUGUUAGAGAAGGGGUAACUAACCAGGAAGGGACGGCUAACUACGUGCCAGCAGCCGCGGUAAUAC